This is a non-coding RNA of Octopus bimaculoides (California two-spot octopus), 134 nucleotides long. Lineage: Eukaryota; Metazoa; Mollusca; Cephalopoda; Octopoda; Octopodidae. The record is from Rfam.
UGCUUUGCACAGAGGCAGUAUCAUAGCUAAUCAGGGUUAUCCGAUGCGCGGUUAUUGCUAGUUGAAACUAUAUAUAUAUAUAUGUAUGUAUGUAUGUAUGUAUGUAUGUAUUUAAACCUGGAUGGGACUGCAGG